Molecule: ribosomal RNA, 253 nt
Filed under: uncultured bacterium
Lineage: Bacteria
Description: partial 16S ribosomal RNA
Rfam family: Bacterial small subunit ribosomal RNA
Source: RNAcentral
UACGAAGGGUGCAAGCGUUGUUCGGAUUUAUUGGGCGUAAAGGGUGAGUAGGCGGAUAGGAAAGUAAGGUGUGAAAUCUCGGGGCCCAACCCCGAAACUGCGCCUUAAACUAUCUAUCUAGAAUCCCGGAGAGGGAAGGGGAAUUUCGCAUGUAGGAGUAAAAUCCGUAGAGAUGCGAAGGAACACCGGAGGCGAAGGCGCCUUCCUGGAAGGGUAUUGACGCUGAGGCACGAAAGCGUGGGGAGCAAACAGG